Molecule: unclassified non-coding RNA, 462 nt
Filed under: Fusarium oxysporum
Lineage: Eukaryota; Fungi; Ascomycota; Sordariomycetes; Hypocreales; Nectriaceae
Description: partial contains 28S ribosomal RNA, 28S-18S ribosomal RNA intergenic spacer, and 18S ribosomal RNA
Source: RNAcentral
GAGCCUGAAAGGGUGAGGACAAACCGGGCGAGCAACCUCUCAGUAUCAGAUCUUGCAGACUUCCACUGCGUGUCCCUCUGUACAGCUUUGCAGGCUCCGGCCUCGGCAGCGGGGGGUUCAUAGUGGUCGUCGACCUCCACGAAACUGCACGCUCCGGCGUGACAGCGUACUGGGGAUGCCUGUGUAGAUGCAGUCCGGGCUUGCCUGGACCGCUAGCAGAUGGGCUCUGUGGAUGACUGGCCGCUGGCUAGACCUGAAACCUGAGCAACGGGAGGUAACCUCUCGCCGCGGACACCGGAAUGGUAGAAGCGGCGUGCUGCGUCCUCCUCUUGGGGCCCCUAAGCCACACCUCCCAUAGCGGGUUCGGUGCGGCGGACGGACGCCCUGGGGAAUUUAGAGGGGGAAAGCGGAUUGCCCUAGCGGUGUUGUUGGCCCUGCCGACCUCACUGCGAAAGGCGCGAC